GGAGAGGGAGCCUGAGAAACGGCUACCACAUCCAAGGAUGGCAGCAGGCGCGCAAAUUACCCAAUCCCGACACGGGGAGGUAGUGACAAUAAAUAACAAUACGGGGUUCUUAUGGAUCUCGUAAUUGGAAUGAGUACAAUUUAAAUCUCUUAACGAGGAACAAUUGGAGGGCAAGUCUGGUGCCAGCAGCCGCGGUAAUUCCAGCUCCAAUAGCGUAUAUUAAAGUUGUUGCAGUUAAAAAGCUCGUAGUUGAAUUUCGAGAUCGGCUUACUGGUCGUGCUUUUGUACGUUCUGGUAUAAUCGGUUUCUCCUUUCUGACGAACUUUAAUGCCAUUAAUUUGGUGUUUUAGGGAAUCAGGACUGUUACUUUGAAAAAAUUAGAGUGUUUAAAGCAGGCUCACGCUUGAAUACAUUAGCAUGGAAUAACGGAAUAGGACGUUUGAUUUUAUUUUGUUGGUUUCUAGGAUCGACGCAAUGAUUAAUAGGGAUAGUUGGGGGCAUUAGUAUUCAAUUGUCAGAGGUGAAAUUCUUGGAUUUAUUGAAGACUAACUACUGCGAAAGCAUUUGCCAAGGAUGUUUUCAUUAAUCAAGAACGAAAGUUAGGGGAUCGAAGACGAUCAGAUACCGUCGUAGUCUUAACCAUAAACUAUGCCGACUAGGAAUCGGAUGAUGUUAAUUUUUUAAUGACUC
This 690-nucleotide ribosomal RNA is filed under the name uncultured Glomus. Its description in RNAcentral is "SSU rRNA". It matches the Rfam family "Eukaryotic small subunit ribosomal RNA", at positions 385 to 1077 of the family's 1831-position model. The record is from RNAcentral. Lineage: Eukaryota; Fungi; Glomeromycota; Glomeromycetes; Glomerales; Glomeraceae.